This 465-nucleotide ribosomal RNA is filed under the name uncultured bacterium. RNAcentral describes it as "bacterial SSU rRNA". It matches the Rfam family "Bacterial small subunit ribosomal RNA", at positions 331 to 795 of the family's 1533-position model. The record is from RNAcentral.
CCAGACUCCUACGGGAGGCAGCAGUGAGGAAUAUUGGUCAAUGGCCGCAGGGCUGAACCAGCCAAGUCGCGUGAGGGAUGACGGUCCUAUGGAUUGUAAACCUCUUUUGUCAGGGAGCAAAGGGCGCCACGUGUGGCGUUUUGCGAGUACCUGAAGAAAAAGCAUCGGCUAACUCCGUGCCAGCAGCCGCGGUAAUACGGAGGAUGCGAGCGUUAUCCGGAUUUAUUGGGUUUAAAGGGUGCGUAGGCGGAAUAUCAAGUCAGCGGUAAAAAUUCGGGGCUCAACCCCGUCGUGCCGUUGAAACUGAUGUUCUUGAGUGGGCGAGAAGUAUGCGGAAUGCGUGGUGUAGCGGUGAAAUGCAUAGAUAUCACGCAGAACUCCGAUUGCGAAGGCAGCAUACCGGCGCCCAACUGACGCUGAAGCACGAAAGCGUGGGUAUCGAACAGGAUUAGAUACCCCGGUAUC